Molecule: long non-coding RNA, 1038 nt
Organism: Apis dorsata (giant honeybee)
Lineage: Eukaryota; Metazoa; Arthropoda; Insecta; Hymenoptera; Apidae
Exons: 2
Source: RefSeq, a predicted model, not a curated record
ACAAUUCCGCAAGCACGUGGCAUAUGCAAUUGUGCAAAUAUAAAAAUCUUAAUUAGAAUAACAAUCAGAAAACUUUGACCGAAACAUAUAAAAACGAUAAAUACAUACGAUUAUCGUUGAAUUUCUGCAUUCCAUUAACAAAAUGAUCAAAAUAAUUUUAUAUUGCACCAGAUCGUCGUGUUAAAUCGGCUUUGGAAACAUCGAAAACGAACGAAGUGAAUCGGAAACAACAGAAUGAGCGAAGGUCUACGUCAGGUGUUUCGAACAAAUACAGAACGAGAUUUAGAAAGAGAGGGACCAUCGAAUACGGAAACAUUGGCGCGAAUAAACGUUGUGGUAGGAUGAGAGAGGUUGCGGUAGGACCUUGAACCUGUUGCGUAAGAAGCGGACUCAGAGAAUGAUGUUGGAUGAUGUAAUAUAAAUUUGUGAUGACCAUAAGUAUAAAGAUACUAUAUGUAAUGAUAUUUAUUAUUUAAUCGUCGAAGCAUGGAGAUUUAAAAUUGAGAACGAAAAGUUUUAAUUAAAACAGAAAAGGAACAUAUUUUUUCACACUAUUGCCCUGAGAGAAAAUGGACGCACAUGCAGGACGUAUUAAAUAAACUGAGCGAUCGCUUGUAUUAUAGAUAUACCAGCAUAGGAACGAGUUUCUAGAAUAAACUUAAUUAAAAAGUGCAACGAAAAGGAAAAAAGAAAGAUUGUUAUAAAAAGUUUUACAUUCACCUGUAUGUUUGAAAACGAAAAAAAAAUACAUAUAUGUAUAUAGGUCCAAUUUCAAAUGAAAUCAUCAUUCACACGUGUUUAAUCCAAAUAAAAAGAAAAUACAUCGAUCAAUUGAUAAUAUUUAAAAUGGAAAUAAAAAAUUAUUGAACGAAAAUUUUUAUUCCAUGUUACGUUUUUCAGGGAUACGAGUCAGAUGACGUAAUAUAUAAUAUAUUAACAUUAUUUUUCAUCUUUCUUGACGAUAUUGCAAAAUAAAAAUCUUUUACGCAAAAACGCAAAUAGAAUAUCGAUAGAAAAAAAAAAGAAAAAAGGCAAAAA